RNAcentral lists this ribosomal RNA (496 nucleotides) under uncultured bacterium. RNAcentral's name for it is "partial 16S ribosomal RNA". It matches the Rfam family "Bacterial small subunit ribosomal RNA", at positions 29 to 523 of the family's 1533-position model. The record is from RNAcentral.
AUUGAACGCUGGCGGCAUGCCUUACACAUGCAAGUCGAACGGUAGAGGGGGCAACCCCUUGAGAGUGGCGAACGGGUGAGUAAUGCAUCGGAACGUGCCCAGUCGUGGGGGAUAGCCCGGGGAAACCCGGAUUAAUACCGCAUACGACCUGCGGGGGAAAGCGGGGGAACGAAAGGCCCCGAGCGCUUGGAGCGGCCGAGGUCGGAUUAGGUAGUUGGUGGGGUAAAGGCCUACCAAGCCUGCGAUCCGUAGCUGGUCUGAGAGGACGACCAGCCACACUGGGACUGAGACACGGCCCAGACUCCUACGGGAGGCAGCAGUGGGGAAUUUUGGACAAUGGGCGCAAGCCUGAUCCAGCCAUGCCGCGUGCGGGAAGAAGGCCUUCGGGUUGUAAACCGCUUUUGUCAGGGAAGAAAUCUCUUGGGUUAAUACCCUGGGGGGAUGACGGUACCUGAAGAAUAAGCACCGGCUAACUACGUGCCAGCCGCCGCCGUAA